UAGGACUUCGCAAUGGUUGCAAACUUGGGA
This 30-nucleotide non-coding RNA is filed under the name Mus musculus (house mouse). Lineage: Eukaryota; Metazoa; Chordata; Mammalia; Rodentia; Muridae. The record is from RNAcentral.